Molecule: ribosomal RNA, 253 nt
Filed under: uncultured bacterium
Lineage: Bacteria
Description: partial 16S ribosomal RNA
Rfam family: Bacterial small subunit ribosomal RNA
Source: RNAcentral
UACGUAGGUGGCAAGCGUUGUCCGGAAUUAUUGGGCGUAAAGAGCGCGCAGGUGGUUACUUAAGUCUGAUGUGAAAGCCCACGGCUCAACCGUGGAGGGUCAUUGGAAACUGGGGAACUUGAGUGCAGAAGAGGAAAGUGGAAUUCCAAGUGUAGCGGUGAAAUGCGUAGAGAUUUGGAUGAACACCAGUGGCGAAGGCGACUUUCUGGUCUGUAACUGACACUGAGGCGCGAAAGCGUUGGGAGCAAACAGG